CUCACAUCCAAACCAUAACACUGGGGAAAUUCUAUAAAUUUCUCAAGAAAAUUAGCACUUUCCUGAAGCAUGAGUCUAUGGAGAAAGAAUUAUCUACCAGCUGCUGUAACACUGCUAAGAAAAUGGAGAGCAGAGGGAAACCAUGGCUCUAGAACAAUAAUUGUAUGGAAUCUGUGGCCCAUUUUCCAAUCAGCCAUUCCCAGGUUUAAUUAUUAGAACCACCAGCAUACUUGAAAAAUCACACUGAUUUCUUUUAAAAGCACAGGUCAUACAUUCUAUUUGAGAGUCUGUGGAGGGGCCCAGGAAUCCAUGGGUGUCUAUGUACAUAUAUAUGUGCAUACACAUGUAUGUACGUAUACUUAAUGGAGCUCCCCCAAGUGAUCCUAAGGGCAAUCCAGCCACCUGUAGUCAGGAUGAACUGCACAGAAGCAAAUGUAAUAUAAGGACAGAAUCAGAUACUUAGACUUUUGUAUUCUGUUUCCAUUUUUUUGUUUUUAAUCAUAAAUAGCUUACUAUAUGGAAGGAUUUUAUGGUAGAAUUUUUUCUUAAUUUAUUCUCACACGCUUAAAGCUACUCAAAAAUGUAGAGUUGGAAGAUUAAAAGGAAAACUCAAAGUCUUGGCUUUGCCUUGUCCCAUAAUGACAAAUGAAAUAUAUGCAUAUGUAAAAUCCACAUUGCAAACUACCCAGUGCAGUGUGGGUAGGUAAUACACAAGUAUAAAGUAUUUUAAAACAGAUAUAAUUUGUUUGUGCUAACUUUGCCCCAAAUUAAAAUACUACAUCAGUGGCCAAAAUUGCUCUCAUUUUACAGAUGAGGAAUUUCAAUAAAAUUGUCUAAAGUCAAGUUGGGAAGAGACAGAAUAUUCAAAACCAGGUCUGUCUCCAUGUAAGAGGCUGGCACCCUGGCCACUAUACCACUCUCUCUCCCUCUUCCCACAUAGGGCUCCUAACUCAGUGACACGUGGGCAAGGUUGAAUAGGAAAGAGUCCUGGGCAGAGUCCGGAGGCCCAGGGGUGAGUUGUGCUCUGUUUCCUCUAGCUGUGUGGCCUCAUCAUUCAGCAAGUUUUAUAAGCUCCAUCCUCUCUCUCUUUCCUUUCAUCUGUGCAAUGAGGGGAAGACUGCUUGAGUCUGGAGGUCUUUUCCAUGUUACAAGUUCUGUGAGUUGAAAGGUAACACGCCGAGGUGCCCUUUCACUUCAUGACAUAUGAUC
Molecule: long non-coding RNA, 1209 nt
Filed under: Marmota monax (woodchuck)
Lineage: Eukaryota; Metazoa; Chordata; Mammalia; Rodentia; Sciuridae
Source: RNAcentral